UAAUGUAUUACCCAUAUGGUGAAACAUAACCAGUGUCACAUAUAUCAUAUGUGCAACUGUGCACAUAUCACUUCUGCCUAGCAACCAUCUUUUCUGCAUAAUUUUCUUUUAGAGUUUUUUUCUGAGCCUAUCCAUAAUACCUGUGUUUUGUUUACAUUUAUUUUUAAGCCUGAAAAUGAGGCAUAUUUACUAA
Long non-coding RNA from Haliotis rubra (blacklip abalone), 193 nucleotides. RefSeq lists it as uncharacterized. The transcript has 2 exons. The record is from RefSeq and is a predicted model, not a curated record. NCBI's taxonomy places the organism in Eukaryota, Metazoa, Mollusca, Gastropoda, Lepetellida, Haliotidae.